Molecule: long non-coding RNA, 255 nt
Organism: Schistocerca serialis cubense
Lineage: Eukaryota; Metazoa; Arthropoda; Insecta; Orthoptera; Acrididae
Exons: 3
Source: RefSeq, a predicted model, not a curated record
GCGGCAAAGGCACGACGUGAGGCGAGCCAGCACACAGACCAGGGUCCCGACAGCAGCCGGCACCUCGUGUCCGUCGCCUGAAGAAGGACUCCAAGACGAAAGCUAGAGGCGCGCUACAGGAAAGAGGGGAGACGCGCACUUGCAAGCGACUUGAACUUUUGUUAUUCGGAAGCGAUGAGGCGGCCCACGUACGUCGCCGCGGCGCUGCUGCUCGCAGCUCUAUCGCCGUCUCUGGCGGCCGACGCUGACCCCGGA